CAUUGAGUAAGGAACGUAUGUAACCAUCCCUCCUGCUUUUACCUUUGUUCCAUUAGGUAAUAUAUCAUCUUCUAAUACUCCUUUUGGAUCCUACGAACAGUAGUAAACAUCGAAUAUACGUUUUUUUUCUUUCUUUGUUUCGAUAUCUCAAUUCACAAAUUUGAUGGAGUUAUAUGGUGUACAUACCUGUGGUACUGCAGGGUAGAGACGAAGUGUUUCUGUCAACACAGCAUGCAAGUAGUGAAGUUUUCCUAAGGAAUCAUAGUUCAAUAGUCCUGCGAAUUGCGUUACCCUCUCGUUGAAGGAAUCGAAAUCCUCUGUUUCGUUAUGAUGCAAUGGUGUGUUAGUCUCUUCUGCUCUUUCUUUUUCGAGUUCUUGUAGCUCUGAGUAAAUUUUCUCGGCAACAUGUUCAUUCAUCAUUAUCAUGUAUAUAGCCCAAGUGAGAGUUGUUGCUGUUGUAUCUCUUCCAGCUAUUACAAAGUUGAGGACAAUAUCUCUUAGGCUUUUCUCAGUUUCUUUACUAUCUGGAUCGUCACUGAUCUCGAUAAACCUCGAGAGUAUAUCAUGCUUGAUCUGAUUACAUGCAUAGGAUUUUGAGAAAAAAUGUUACUACUUUGUGACAAGUUCAUAUACAUAUUUUUGACUUUUAAUAAUUUUUGUACCUUGUUGUUGGCAGGAUGUUUCUGUGCCUCUAAGAACUCUGCUUUCCUCCUUCUUAUGACUGAAUAUGUGAAAUCAUUGACCACUUUUAUGCUCUUAUCAAGCAAUGCCUC
Molecule: long non-coding RNA, 773 nt
Filed under: Capsella grandiflora
Lineage: Eukaryota; Viridiplantae; Streptophyta; Magnoliopsida; Brassicales; Brassicaceae
Description: long non-coding RNA (CGRA_LNC001723)
Source: RNAcentral